AGAGUUUGAUUCUGGCUCAGAACGAACGCUGGCAGCGUGGAUUAGGCAUGCGAGUCGAACGAGAAGCCGCUGUUUCAAUCUUCGGAGAGAGACGGUGGUGGAAAGUGGCGAAAGGGUGAGUAACGCGUGGGUAACCUGCCUCCGAGUUUGGGACAACUCCUCGAAAGGGGGGCUAAUACCGGAUACGGUGCUCCGUCGCAUGACGGGGACAUUAAAGAUGGGGAUUCUUCGGAACCUGUCGCUGGGAGAUGGACCCGCGUACCAUCAGCUUGUUGGUGGUAACGGCCUACCAAGGCUUACGGUUAGCUGGUCUGAGAGGAUGGUCAGCCACACUGGGACUGAGACACUGCCCAGACUCCUACGGGAGGCUGCAGUCGAGGAUCAUUCGCAAUGCGCGAAAGCGUGACGAUGCGACGCUGCGUGGAGGAUGAAGGCCUUCGGGUUGUAAACUCCUGUCAUGAGGGAAAAGACAGCGGGCCGCUAAUACCGGUUCGCCUCGAUGGUACCUCAAGAGGAAGCCACGGCUAACUCUGUGCCAGCAGCCGCGGUAAUACAGAGGUGGCGAGCGUUGUUCGGAUUUACUGGGCGUAAAGCGUGCGUAGGUGGUUUCGUGUGUCGGGUGUGAAAUCCCACGGCUUAACCGUGGAACUGCAUCCGAAACUGCGGGACUUGAGUGCAGGAGGGGAGAGCGGAAUUCUUGGUGUAGCGGUGAAAUGCGUUGAUAUCAAGAAGAACACCGGUGGCGAAGGCGGCUCUCUGGAAUGCUACUGACACUGAGGCACGAAAGCUGGGGGAGCAAACAGGAUUAGAUACCCUGGUAGUCCCAGCUGUAAACGGUGCACACUUGGUGUGGGGGGUAUUGACCCCCCCCGUGCCGGAGCUAACGCGUUAAGUGUGCCGCCUGGGGAGUACGGCCGCAAGGCUAAAACUCAAAGAAAUUGACGGGGGCCCGCACAAGCGGAGGAGCAUGUGGCUUAAUUCGAUGCAACGCGAAGAACCUUACCUGGGCUUGACAUGGUGACCCUUCGGGGGUGGGAGUGAAAGCUCCCUUUACACACACAGGUGCUGCAUGGCUGUCGUCAGUUCGUGCCGUGAGGUGUUGGGUUAAGUCCCGCAACGAACGCAACCCUUGUGUUUAGUUGCCACCGCAGGUGAUGAGCCUGCGAGCACUCUAGACAGACUGCCCGUACAAGCGGGAGGAAGGUGGGGAUGACGUCAAGUCAGUAUGGCCCUUACGCCCAGGGCUGCACACGUGCUACAAUGGUCGGUACAAUGGGAAGCAAGACCGCGAGGUGGAGCAAAUCCUAAAAACCGGCGUAAGUUCGGAUUGGAGUCUGAAACUCGACUCCAUGAAGUCGGAUUCGCUAGUAACGGCGUAUCAGCUACGACGCCGUGAAUACGUUCCCGGGCCUUGUACACACCGCCCGUCACAUCAUGAAAGCCGUCUGCACCCGAAGUCGCUGAGCCAACCCGCAAGGGAGGCAGGUGCCGAAGGUGUGGGUGGUGAUU
Molecule: ribosomal RNA, 1509 nt
Filed under: metagenome
Description: bacterial SSU rRNA
Rfam family: Bacterial small subunit ribosomal RNA
Source: RNAcentral